RNAcentral lists this ribosomal RNA (433 nucleotides) under uncultured bacterium. Its description in RNAcentral is "partial 16S ribosomal RNA". It matches the Rfam family "Bacterial small subunit ribosomal RNA", at positions 29 to 507 of the family's 1533-position model. The record is from RNAcentral.
AACGAACGCUGGCGGCAUGCCUAACACAUGCAAGUCGAACGAUACCUUCGGGUCUAGUGGCGCACGGGUGCGUAACGCGUGGGAACCUGCCCUUAGGUUCGGAAUAACUCCCCGAAAGGGGUGCUAAUACCGGAUAAUGUCUUCGGACCAAAGAUUUAUCGCCUUUGGAUGGGCCCGCGUUGGAUUAGCUAGUUGGUAGGGUAAAAGCCUACCAAGGCGACGAUCCAUAGCUGGUCUGAGAGGAUGAUCAGCCACACUGGGACUGAGACACGGACCAGACUCCUACGGGAGGCAGCAGUGGGGAAUAUUGGACAAUGGGCGAAAGGCUGAUCCAGCAAUGCCGCGUGAGUGAUGAAGGCCUUAGGGUUGUAAAGCUCUUUUAACCGGGAUGAUAAUGACAGUACCGGGAGAAUAAGCUCCGGCUAACUCCGUG